Molecule: transfer RNA, 65 nt
Filed under: Philonthus fimetarius
Lineage: Eukaryota; Metazoa; Arthropoda; Insecta; Coleoptera; Staphylinidae
Description: tRNA-Leu
Rfam family: tRNA
About the family: Transfer RNA (tRNA) molecules are approximately 80 nucleotides in length. Their secondary structure includes four short double-helical elements and three loops (D, anti-codon, and T loops). Further hydrogen bonds mediate the characteristic L-shaped molecular structure. tRNAs have two regions of fundamental functional importance: the anti-codon, which is responsible for specific mRNA codon recognition, and the 3' end, to which the tRNAs corresponding amino acid is attached (by aminoacyl-tRNA synthetases). tRNAs cope with the degeneracy of the genetic code in two manners: having more than one tRNA (with a specific anti-codon) for a particular amino acid; and 'wobble' base-pairing, i.e. permitting non-standard base-pairing at the 3rd anti-codon position.
Source: RNAcentral
UCUAAUAUGGCAGAUUAGUGCAAUGGAUUUAAAUCCCAUAUAUAAAGUUUGAACUUUUUUUAGAA